Molecule: ribosomal RNA, 472 nt
Filed under: uncultured bacterium
Lineage: Bacteria
Description: partial 16S ribosomal RNA
Rfam family: Bacterial small subunit ribosomal RNA
Source: RNAcentral
GACGAACGCUGGCGGCGUGCUUAACACAUGCAAGUCGAACGCAGAAGCUUGGUGCUUGCACUGGGCGGGUGAGUGGCGAACGGGUGAGUAAUACGUGUGUAACCUGCCUUUGACUCUGGGAUAAGCCUGGGAAACUGGCUCUAAUACUGGAUACGAUAUGCCACCGCAUGGUGGUGUGUGGAGAGGGUUUUAGUGGUUUUGGAUUGGCUCACUGCCUACCAGCUUGUUGGGGGGGUAGUGGCCUACCAAGGCGACGACGGGUAGCCGGCCUGAGAGGGUGACCGGCCACACUGGGACUGAGACACGGCCCAGACUCCUACGGGAGGCAGCAGUGGGGAAUAUUGCACAAUGGGCGGAAGCCUGAUGCAGCGACGCCGCGUGAGGGAUGACGGCCUUCGGGUUGUAAACCUCUUUCGGCGCGGAAGAAGCGAGAGUGACGGUACGUGCUAAAGAAGCACCGGCUAACUACGUG